ACGGAGGGUGCAAGCGUUGUUCGGAAUUACUGGGCGUAAAGCGCGUGUAGGCGGUCAGGUCAGUCGAGUGUGAAAGCCCGAGGCUCAACCUCGGAAGUGCAUUCGAAACUGCUUGGCUUGAGUACGGGAGAGGGAAGUGGAAUUCCUGGUGUAGAGGUGAAAUUCGUAGAUAUCAGGAGGAACACCGGUGGCGAAGGCGGCUUCCUGGACCGAUACUGACGCUGAGACGCGAAAGCGUGGGGAGCAAACAGGAUUAGAUACCCUGGUAGUCCACGCCGUAAACGGUGAGCACUAGGUGUAGCGGGUAUUGACCCCUGCUGUGCCGCAGCUAACGCAUUAAGUGCUCCGCCUGGGGAGUACGGCCGCAAGGUUA
Molecule: ribosomal RNA, 373 nt
Filed under: uncultured bacterium
Lineage: Bacteria
Description: bacterial SSU rRNA
Rfam family: Bacterial small subunit ribosomal RNA
Source: RNAcentral